This 406-nucleotide ribosomal RNA is filed under the name uncultured bacterium. RNAcentral describes it as "partial 16S ribosomal RNA". It matches the Rfam family "Bacterial small subunit ribosomal RNA", at positions 30 to 526 of the family's 1533-position model. The record is from RNAcentral.
AUUGAACGCUGGCGGCAGGCCUAACACAUGCAAGUCGAACGCGUGGCGGACGGGUGAGUAAUGUCUGGGAAACUGCCUGAUGGAGGGGGAUAACUAAUAGAAACGGUAGCUAAUACCGCAUACCAUCAGCUGUGCCCAGAUGGGAUUCGAUUGUUGGUGGGGUAACGGCUCACAAAGGCGACGAUCCCUAGCUGGUCUGAGAGGAUGACCAGCCACACUGGAACUGAGACACGGUCCAGACUCCUACGGGAGGCAGCAGUGGGGAAUAUUGGACAAUGGGCGCAAGCCUGAUGCAGCCAUGCCGCGUGUAUGAAGAAGGCCUUCGGGUUGUAAAGCACUUUAGGUUGGGGGGCGUUAUCAACAGAAUAAGCACCGGCUAACUUCGUGCCAGCAGCCGCGGUAAUAC